GGGUCAGUAGGUCGGUCGUGCCACCGGUACGUACUGGUCUCACUGAUUCCCCCUUCCUGAAGAACCGUAAUGCCAUUAAUUUGGUGUUGCGGGGAAACAGGACUGUUACUUUGAAAAAAUUAGAGUGUUUAAAGCAAGCUAACGCUUGAAUACAUUAGCAUGGAAUAAUGAAAUAGGACGAUCGAUCCUAUUUUGUUGGUUUCUAGGAUUGACGUA
This 216-nucleotide ribosomal RNA is filed under the name Glomeromycotina sp. Its description in RNAcentral is "partial small subunit ribosomal RNA". The stretch from base 54 to 216 matches the Rfam family "Eukaryotic small subunit ribosomal RNA", at positions 700 to 864 of the family's 1831-position model. The record is from RNAcentral. Lineage: Eukaryota; Fungi; Glomeromycota.